RNAcentral lists this long non-coding RNA (882 nucleotides) under Helianthus annuus (common sunflower). RNAcentral describes it as "sRNA HanXRQr2_Chr10g0460041". Lineage: Eukaryota; Viridiplantae; Streptophyta; Magnoliopsida; Asterales; Asteraceae. The record is from RNAcentral.
UGAGCUCCUCUCUCUCUCUCUCUCUCUCUCUCGAUUAUUUUCCCAGGCAACAAACACAGAGAAACUUGGCUUCUCCAAACAUAAACAAAUGAAUAAUCUGAUCCAUCUCACACUCACACUCUUGAUUCUACUCCAGUGAGGCAACCGACGAAGCCGGCAUCCCGAUUUCUCCGGCGAGGUGCACACCAACCGCACGACACCCCCUGUUACAUGUAGAGCUGACCACCACCAUCGGGUGGUGGUGAGUGACGUUGGACCGAGAAGUGAGAGAAGCCAGAGGGAAGAGAGACCGGAGAAGGAUGGCGACGGUGGCAGACGGCGCCGCUGUCUGUGGCGGGGCGACGGUGCUGAGCGACGGCGAAAGAGAGAGAGAGGCAGAAGUAUAGAGAGACGAUUCAGAGAGAAGGGGAAACGGCGGAGCCGUUAGGUCAGCGGCGGCGACGGAGGAGACGGCUGCGGAGCUUCGAUGACAGGUCUUUCCGAUGGCUUUGGGUCAGGUUCGGUCGGUCAACAAGUCAACAGAUUUGGAGUUCGGUUGAGUGUUUAGCUCAACUCGGUUUGACUCGGUCAACCGAGUCAACUCAGUCAACAGAGAUGUUCGGGACAGAUUCGGUUCGGUCAGGCGGCUCGGGCAGGCGGUUCGGUUAACUCAGUCUGCGAGUCGAUUCGGGACAAGACAAGUCCACUCGGUUUGGUCGGUUCGGGUCAGAUUAGGAAGCGGUUCAGUUGACCCGGUCAAACUCGGUCAAACUCAGUCAACUCAGUGAGUUGACUCGGUCAGCUCGGCUUUCGACACGAGAAGAUGGGAUAUUGUAGAAUGCACGCUAGCAAGCCACGUCUUGGAAACGACAUCAUCAAAGUCGUAAUUAGCUAGCUUUGCAC